AUUGAACGAUGGCGGCAGGCCUAACACAUGCAAGUCGAACGAGUGGCGGACGGGUGAGUAAUGUCUGGGAAACUGCCUGAUGGAGGGGGAUAACUAAUGGAAACGGUAGCUAAUACCGCAUACCAUCAGAUGUGCCCAGAUGGGAUUAGAUUGUUGGUGGGGUAACGGCUCACCAAGGCGACGAUCCCUAGCUGGUCUGAGAGGAUGACUAGCCACACUGGAACUGAGACACGGACCAGACUCCAACAGGAGGCAGAAGUGGGGAACAGUGAACAAUGGCCGCAAGCAUGAUGCAGCCAUGCCGCGUGUAUGAAGAAGGCCUUCGGGUUGUAAAGUACUUUCAGCGGGGAGGCGUUACCCGCAGAAGAAGCACCGGAUAACUCCGUGCCAGCAGCCGCGGUAAUUC
This 406-nucleotide ribosomal RNA is filed under the name uncultured bacterium. RNAcentral's name for it is "partial 16S ribosomal RNA". It matches the Rfam family "Bacterial small subunit ribosomal RNA", at positions 30 to 526 of the family's 1533-position model. The record is from RNAcentral.